Molecule: long non-coding RNA, 387 nt
Filed under: Linum usitatissimum (flax)
Lineage: Eukaryota; Viridiplantae; Streptophyta; Magnoliopsida; Malpighiales; Linaceae
Description: long non-coding RNA (LUSI_LNC004310)
Source: RNAcentral
CCAGAUGGUUCUUGAGGGUUUUGGGGAGGAGACGAGUAGUGAAGUGCUGUGAAGCUUCAGAUCUGAAAAUGGUAAGAGAAAAGCAAGCUCACACUGUGCUUUUUUUCUCUUUCCUACAGUCUCAACGUUCGUGAAGCAGCAGAGGUCAGAGGGAAGGAGUGCACUGGUAGGAAGCUGCACUGGUAGGAAAUAAUAAUAAUAAUAGAAGCAAGCUACCCUCUACACGACAAAAACAUUUGCUCGGAGAAAUACAAGCAAUGAAAAAAAUCCUACAGUCUCAACGUUCGUGAAGCAGCAGAGGUCAGAGGGAAGGAGUGCACUGGUAGGAAAUAAUAAUAAUAAUAAUAAUAAUAAUAGAAGCAAGCUACCCUCUAAACGACAAAAACG